AGGUGGGAGAAUUGCUUGAGCCUGGGAGAUGGAGGUUGCAGUGAGCUGAGAUUGUGCCACUGCACUCCAGCCUGGGCC
Molecule: microRNA precursor, 78 nt
Filed under: Saimiri boliviensis boliviensis (Bolivian squirrel monkey)
Lineage: Eukaryota; Metazoa; Chordata; Mammalia; Primates; Cebidae
Description: miRNA (ENSSBOG00000019399.1)
Source: RNAcentral